CCUACGGGAGGCAGCAGUGAGGAAUAUUGGUCAAUGGACGCAAGGCUGAACCAGCCAAGUCGCGUGAAGGAAGACGGAUCUAUGGUUUGUAAACCUCUUUUACAGGGGAAUAAAGGUAUCCACGUGUGGAUAUUUGCAUGUACCCUAUGAAUAAGCAUCGGCUAACUCCGUGCCAGCAGCCGCGGUAAUCCGGAGGAUGCGAGCGUUAUCCGGAUUUAUUGGGGUUAAAGGGUUCGUAGGUUGGUUUUUAAGUCAGCGGUGAAAGUUUGUGGCUCAACCAUAAUAUUGCCGUUGAAACUGGCAGUCUUGAGUGGGUUUGAGGUAGGCGGAAUGCGUGGUGUAGCGGUGAAAUGCAUAGAUAUCACGCAGAACUCCGAUUGCGAAGGCAGCUUACU
This 395-nucleotide ribosomal RNA is filed under the name uncultured bacterium. RNAcentral's name for it is "partial 16S ribosomal RNA". It matches the Rfam family "Bacterial small subunit ribosomal RNA", at positions 338 to 730 of the family's 1533-position model. The record is from RNAcentral.